Molecule: non-coding RNA, 81 nt
Organism: Acanthosepion pharaonis
Lineage: Eukaryota; Metazoa; Mollusca; Cephalopoda; Sepiida; Sepiidae
Source: the annotation of a GenBank genome assembly
CAGUUUCUGUACGAUCAUCGAAGUUAAGCAACGUCGAGCCUGCUCAGUACCUAGAUGGGUGACCGCUCGGGAAUACCAGGU